UAACCACUCAAGCCUCGCUUGGUGUUGGGGCUCGCAAUCUUGCGGCCUCUAAAAUCAGUGGCGGUGCCAGUAGGCUCUGAGCGUAGUACAUCUCCUCGCUAUAGAGUCCUAUCGGUCCCCUGCCAAAACCCCCAUAUUUUUAUA
Molecule: unclassified non-coding RNA, 144 nt
Filed under: uncultured Mollisia
Lineage: Eukaryota; Fungi; Ascomycota; Leotiomycetes; Helotiales; Dermateaceae
Description: sequence contains ITS2
Source: RNAcentral